RNAcentral lists this unclassified non-coding RNA (402 nucleotides) under soil metagenome. Its description in RNAcentral is "partial contains 5.8S ribosomal RNA, internal transcribed spacer 2, and large subunit ribosomal RNA". The stretch from base 1 to 121 matches the Rfam family "5.8S ribosomal RNA", at positions 35 to 154 of the family's 154-position model. The record is from RNAcentral.
GAUGAAGAACGCAGCGAAAUGCGAUAAGUAAUGUGAAUUGCAGAAUUCAGUGAAUCAUCGAAUCUUUGAACGCACCUUGCGCCCUUUGGCUAUUCCGAAGGGCAUGCCUGUUUGAGUAUCAUGAACACCUCAACUCUCAUGGUUCGCCAUGAUGAGCUUGGACUCUGGGGGUCUUGCUGGCCUAUGGUCAGCUCCUCUCAAAUAAAUCAGCUUGCCAGUGUUUGGUGGCAUCACAGGUGUGAUAACUAUCUACGCUUGUGGUUUUCCAUCAGGUAACCUUCAGUGAUUGAGGUUCGCUGGAGCUCAUAAAUGUCCCUCCUCAGCGAGGACAGCUUUUUGAACGUUUGAUCUCAAAUCAGGUAGGACUACCCGCUGAACUUAAGCAUAUCAAUAAGCGGAGGA